UGAAGAGGAGAAGCACGAUGGAAGAAGGAGAAGAGGGUGGUGACAGAGGUGGCAGUGACAGAUAAGGAGGCUAGAUCGAGAGAGUAGGGAAGAGGAGACAGGAAUGUAUACUACAAAUCCGACGACACUUAUCAGGUCCCAUCUCACAGAUCCAUUUCAACUCUUCAAUCUUCGAGUAUUUCGUGCAAUUCGAAGCUUUGAUCUUUGAGGUAUGGAGAGUGUUGGUUCAGAAAAGAUAAGAGGAAGAAGAAGCCAGAGGGUGAGAACAAGAUCAAGUGCAAAAUGAAGACUGUGAAUUGCAAGUUCUGGAGAAAACUUAUGCUGUUAGGGCUUUUGGUGCCAUUGUGGAAUCAUUUCCAAGCUUUACUCUU
Molecule: non-coding RNA, 371 nt
Organism: Arachis ipaensis
Lineage: Eukaryota; Viridiplantae; Streptophyta; Magnoliopsida; Fabales; Fabaceae
Source: RefSeq, a predicted model, not a curated record